Molecule: ribosomal RNA, 558 nt
Filed under: uncultured Methylobacterium sp.
Lineage: Bacteria; Pseudomonadati; Pseudomonadota; Alphaproteobacteria; Hyphomicrobiales; Methylobacteriaceae
Description: bacterial SSU rRNA
Rfam family: Bacterial small subunit ribosomal RNA
Source: RNAcentral
ACGGGUGAGUAACACGUGGGAACGUACCCUUUGGUUCGGAAUAACGCUGGGAAACUAGCGCUAAUACCGGAUACGCCCUUUUGGGGAAAGGCUUGCUGCCGAAGGAUCGGCCCGCGUCUGAUUAGCUAGUUGGUGGGGUAAUGGCCUACCAAGGCGACGAUCAGUAGCUGGUCUGAGAGGAUGAUCAGCCACACUGGGACUGAGACACGGCCCAGACUCCUACGGGAGGCAGCAGUGGGGAAUAUUGGACAAUGGGCGCAAGCCUGAUCCAGCCAUGCCGCGUGAGUGAUGAAGGCCUUAGGGUUGUAAAGCUCUUUUGUCCGGGACGAUAAUGACGGUACCGGAAGAAUAAGCCCCGGCUAACUUCGUGCCAGCAGCCGCGGUAAUACGAAGGGGGCUAGCGUUGCUCGGAAUCACUGGGCGUAAAGGGCGCGUAGGCGGCCAUUCAAGUCGGGGGUGAAAGCCUGUGGCUCAACCACAGAAUUGCCUUCGAUACUGUUUGGCUUGAGUUUGGUAGAGGUUGGUGGAACUGCGAGUGUAGGUGGGGAAAUUCGUAGA